AUGAACGCUGGCGGCGUGCCUCAUCCAUGCAAGUCGAGCGAACAGACGAGGAGCUUGCUCCUCUGACGUUAGCGGCGGACGGGUGAGUAACACAUGGAUAACCUACCUAUAAGACUGGGAUAACUUCGGGAAACCGGAGCUAAUACCGGAUAAUAUAUUGAACCGCAUGGUUCAAUAGUGAAAGACGGUUUUGCUGUCACUUAUAGAUGGAUCCGCGCCGCAUUAGCUAGUUGGUAAGGUAACGGCUUACCAAGGCAACGAUGCGUAGCCGACCUGAGAGGGUGAUCGGCCACACUGGAACUGAGACACGGUCCAGACUCCUACGGGAGGCAGCAGUAGGGAAUCUUCCGCAAUGGGCGAAAGCUUGACGGAGCAACGCCGCGUGAGUGAUGAAGGUCUUCGGAUCGUAAAACUCUGUUAUUAGGGAAGAACAAAUGUGUAAGUAACUAUGCACGUCUUGACGGUACCUAAUCAGAAAGCCACGGCUAACUACGUG
This 496-nucleotide ribosomal RNA is filed under the name uncultured bacterium. RNAcentral describes it as "partial 16S ribosomal RNA". It matches the Rfam family "Bacterial small subunit ribosomal RNA", at positions 29 to 507 of the family's 1533-position model. The record is from RNAcentral.